RNAcentral lists this ribosomal RNA (328 nucleotides) under uncultured bacterium. RNAcentral describes it as "bacterial SSU rRNA". It matches the Rfam family "Bacterial small subunit ribosomal RNA", at positions 568 to 898 of the family's 1533-position model. The record is from RNAcentral.
AGCGCAGGCGGGUUGGCAAGUCCUUGGUGAAAUCCUGAGGCUUAACCUCAGGACUGCCAAUGAUACUGCCGAUCUUGAGUGCAGAAGAGGAAGACGGAAUUCCUGGUGUAGCGGUGAAAUGCGUAGAUAUCAGGAAGAACACCGGUGGCGAAGGCGGUCUUCUGGUCUGUAACUGACGCCCAUGCUCGAAAGCGUGGGGAGCAAACAGGAUUAGAUACCCUGGUAGUCCACGCCCUAAACGAUGGAUACUCGAUGUCGGGUCGCAAGGCCCGGUGUCCAAGCUAACGCGUUAAGUAUCCCACCUGGGGAGUACGAUCGCAAGGUUGAA